UGCGUAGGCGGUGCGGUAAGUCUUCUGUGAAACCUCCGGGCUUAACUCGGAGCCUGCAGAGGAAACUGCCGUGCUGGAGUAUGGGAGAGGUGAGUGGAAUUCCCGGCGUAGCGGUGAAAUGCGUAGAUAUCGGGAGGAACACCUGUGGCGAAAGCGGCUCACUGGACCAUUACUGACGCUGAUGCACGAAAGCUAGGGGAGCAAACAGGAUUAGAUACCCUGGUAGUCCUAGCCCUAAACUAUGAUCGCUUGGUGUGACAGGUACCCAAUCCUGUCGUGCCGGAGCUAACGCGUUAAGCGAUCCGCCUGGGGAGUACGGUCGCAAGGCUGAA
RNAcentral lists this ribosomal RNA (332 nucleotides) under uncultured bacterium. Its description in RNAcentral is "bacterial SSU rRNA". It matches the Rfam family "Bacterial small subunit ribosomal RNA", at positions 568 to 898 of the family's 1533-position model. The record is from RNAcentral.